This 433-nucleotide ribosomal RNA is filed under the name Helicopsis striata. Its description in RNAcentral is "partial 16S ribosomal RNA". It matches the Rfam family "Archaeal large subunit ribosomal RNA", at positions 1920 to 2670 of the family's 2987-position model. Lineage: Eukaryota; Metazoa; Mollusca; Gastropoda; Stylommatophora; Geomitridae. The record is from RNAcentral.
AGCUAGAUGAUGUUAAUAUUUAGUGCUUUCUGCUCAAUGGGGAUAACUAAAUAGCCGCAGUACCCUGACUGUGCAAAGGUAGCAUAAUCAUUUGGCUUAUAAUUGAAGUCUGGCAUGAAUGAAUUAAUGGGGAACAUCUGUCUAUAAUAUUCUACUAGAAUUUAAUUAAUAAGUGAAAAUUCUUAUAAAUAAAUAAAAGACGAGAAGACCCUAGAAAUUUUAUUUAUUCUAGUAUAAUACUAUAUCAUUUUGUUGGGGCGACAGAAUAACAGAUAACUUAUUUUAUUUAAUUAGCAUUAUAUAUUAUGUAAAAUUAAAUUACUCUAGGGAUAACAGCAUAAUUUAUAAAAGUUUGUGACCUCGAUGUUGGACUAGGAAAUUUAAUAUUCAAAAGGUAUUAAAAUUUGCUCUGUUCGAGCAUUAACUCCUACAU